Molecule: ribosomal RNA, 456 nt
Filed under: uncultured Alloprevotella sp.
Lineage: Bacteria; Pseudomonadati; Bacteroidota; Bacteroidia; Bacteroidales; Prevotellaceae
Description: bacterial SSU rRNA
Rfam family: Bacterial small subunit ribosomal RNA
Source: RNAcentral
ACGGAAGGCAGCAGUGAGGAAUAUUGGUCAAUGGGCGCGAGCCUGAACCAGCCAAGUAGCGUGCAGGAUGACGGCCCUCCGGGUUGUAAACUGCUUUUAGUUGGGAAUAAAAGAGCGUACGUGUACGCUGUAUUGUAUGUACCAUCAGAAAAAGGACCGGCUAAUUCCGUGCCAGCAGCCGCGGUAAUACGGAAGGUCCGGGCGUUAUCCGGAUUUAUUGGGUUUAAAGGGUGCGUAGGCGGCAUCUCAAGUCUGUGGUGAAAUGUCAGGGCUCAACCUUGGCACUGCCAUGGAAACUGGGGGGCUAGAGUGCGUUUGGGGUGCAUGGAAUGUGUGGUGUAGCGGUGAAAUGCAUAGAUAUCACACAGAACGCCGAUCGCGAAGGCAGUGCACCAAGCCGCGACUGACGCUGAGGCACGAAAGUGCGGGGAUCGAACAGGAUUAGAUACCCUGGUA